GCGGGUAUAGCUUAGUGGUAGAGUCAUAGCCUUCCAAGCUAAAGGUGUGGGUUCGAUUCCCACUAUCCGCU
This 71-nucleotide transfer RNA is filed under the name Candidatus Neoehrlichia procyonis str. RAC413. RNAcentral's name for it is "Candidatus Neoehrlichia lotoris str. RAC413 tRNA". It matches the Rfam family "tRNA". From Rfam's summary of the family: Transfer RNA (tRNA) molecules are approximately 80 nucleotides in length. Their secondary structure includes four short double-helical elements and three loops (D, anti-codon, and T loops). Lineage: Bacteria; Pseudomonadati; Pseudomonadota; Alphaproteobacteria; Rickettsiales; Anaplasmataceae. The record is from Rfam by way of RNAcentral.